GCCUUCGUGGUGUAGUGGUCAGCACGCUUGACGCGUAACCGAGAGGUCCGUGGUUCGAUUCUUGGCGAAGGCG
RNAcentral lists this transfer RNA (73 nucleotides) under Stegodyphus mimosarum. It matches the Rfam family "tRNA". From Rfam's summary of the family: Transfer RNA (tRNA) molecules are approximately 80 nucleotides in length. Their secondary structure includes four short double-helical elements and three loops (D, anti-codon, and T loops). Lineage: Eukaryota; Metazoa; Arthropoda; Arachnida; Araneae; Eresidae. The record is from Rfam by way of RNAcentral.